Molecule: long non-coding RNA, 1039 nt
Filed under: Ursus maritimus (polar bear)
Lineage: Eukaryota; Metazoa; Chordata; Mammalia; Carnivora; Ursidae
Description: lncRNA (ENSUMAG00000016654.1)
Source: RNAcentral
UCAAAUCCUAACGUCCUUAACUGGAAAAUGGCAAGACUCACUUACUUAACUUAGUGAGCAAUACUUUGUAUAAAAGCAACACAGUCAGAUGCCUUUUUUUCCCCCUAGGGAUGAGCUUCCGACUGGAAACUGAGUGAGAAGGCAAAGAACAUACUGAUCCAUGUGCUGGAAUUUGUCCCUGGGGUUAGAGAGAGUGCCUCACGUCUUUACCUUACUCAAAUAUUUACAGCACAAAUGGGUGUCUGAUGAAGUAGUGUUAUGGGCUGAGUUGUAUGCUGCCAUGUGGAGAAGUCCUGACCCCCAGUACCUCAGAACAUGAUGGAUUUGGAGACAGGGACUUCGAAGAGGUGAUUACAGUAAAAUGAGGUCAUGUAGGGGGGCCCUAGUUCAAUAGGACUGGUGUCUUUAUAAGUAAAGGGCAGCACGCAGGCCUGCAAGCAGGAAGACCAUGGGAAGACGAGCAGGACACAGUCAUCCACAAGACAAGGAGAGAGGCCCCAGAAGAAACCAACAUUGCUGACAGCUUGAUUUCAGACUUGUAGCCUUCAGGAUUAUGAGAAAACAAAUCUCUGUUGUUUAAGCCCCCCAGUCAGUGGUGCUUUGUUAUGACAGCCCGAGCUAACCAAUACAACGGGUGUUUGUAAUCACUAUGUGUACAGGCUUUGGGGGCAGCCAGCGUGGGUUUGAAUCUCAGCUGGGCUUCUUUCUGGCUCUGGGAUCUUGGAUGAUUUAGUAAACGUGGAAGCCUCAGUUUUCCCCUCUGCAAAAUAGGAAAAACAGUUUCUGCUUGUAUCAUUGUGAGGCUUAAAAUGAGGCAAUGCAUUUAAGACGCUUAGCACAGGGUUUGGCAAGGAGGUAAGUGCUCGAUGCCUUUAUUCCUUCAACAAAUACUUACCAAAAGACUAUGUGCCAGGCAUUGUUCUAGGUGCUGGGAUCAUAUAGUGAAUUAGACAAAAACCUCUUUGCCCUCUGGUAGCUUUCAUUCUGGUGGGGGAGGACAGAUAAUAAACAAUUAUGUAAAAUCUAUAGUAAGUUAGAG